This 615-nucleotide ribosomal RNA is filed under the name uncultured Lachnospiraceae bacterium. RNAcentral describes it as "bacterial SSU rRNA". It matches the Rfam family "Bacterial small subunit ribosomal RNA", at positions 72 to 706 of the family's 1533-position model. Lineage: Bacteria; Bacillati; Bacillota; Clostridia; Lachnospirales; Lachnospiraceae. The record is from RNAcentral.
CGGAUGAUUCUUAACUGACUGAGCGGCGGACGGGUGAGUAACGCGUGGGUGACCUGCCCCAUACCGGGGGAUAACAGCUGGAAACGGCUGCUAAUACCGCAUAAGCGCACAGAGCUGCAUGGCUCGGUGUGAAAAACUCCGGUGGUAUGGGAUGGGCCCGCGUCUGAUUAGGCAGUUGGCGGGGUAACGGCCCACCAAACCGACGAUCAGUAGCCGGCCUGAGAGGGCGACCGGCCACAUUGGGACUGAGACACGGCCCAAACUCCUACGGGAGGCAGCAGUGGGGAAUAUUGCACAAUGGGGGAAACCCUGAUGCAGCGACGCCGCGUGAGCGAAGAAGUAUUUCGGUAUGUAAAGCUCUAUCAGCAGGGAAGAUAAUGACGGUACCUGACUAAGAAGCCCCGGCUAACUACGUGCCAGCAGCCGCGGUAAUACGUAGGGGGCAAGCGUUAUCCGGAUUUACUGGGUGUAAAGGGAGCGUAGACGGCAAGGCAAGUCUGAUGUGAAAACCCAGGGCUUAACCCUGGGACUGCAUUGGAAACUGUCUGGCUCGAGUGCCGGAGAGGUAAGCGGAAUUCCUAGUGUAGCGGUGAAAUGCGUAGAUAUUAGGAAGAA